This 511-nucleotide ribosomal RNA is filed under the name uncultured bacterium. RNAcentral describes it as "bacterial SSU rRNA". It matches the Rfam family "Bacterial small subunit ribosomal RNA", at positions 355 to 880 of the family's 1533-position model. The record is from RNAcentral.
UGAGGAAUUUUCCGCAAUGGGCGCAAGCCUGACGGAGUCAUACCGCGUGCGGGACGACGCUCUAGGGAGUGUAAACCGCUUUUGACAGGGAAGAAUCCAUGACGGUACCUGUCGAAUCAGCCUCGGCUAACUCCGUGCCAGCAGCCGCGGUAAUACGGAGGAGGCAAGCGUUAUCCGGAAUUAUUGGGCGUAAAGGGUUUGUAGAUGGUUGGAUGUGUCUGCUGUUAAAGCCAAUAGCUCAACUAUUGAGGUGCAGCGGAAACUAUUUAACUAGAGGACAGUAGGGGCAGAGGGAAUUCCCAGUGUAGCGGUGAAAUGCGUAGAUAUUGGGAAGAACACCGGUGGCGAAAGCGCUCUGCUAGGCUGUACCUGACAUUGAUGAACGAAAGCUAGGGGAGCGAAAGGGAUUAGAUACCCCUGUAGUCCUAGCUGUAAACGAUGGAUACUCGAUGUGGCGGGUAUUGACCCCCGCCGUGUCUAAGCUAACGCGAUAAGUAUCCCGCCUGGGAGA